RNAcentral lists this ribosomal RNA (585 nucleotides) under bacterium T-1-48-9H. RNAcentral describes it as "bacterial SSU rRNA". It matches the Rfam family "Bacterial small subunit ribosomal RNA", at positions 371 to 945 of the family's 1533-position model. The record is from RNAcentral.
AUGGACGAAAGUCUGACCGAGCAACGCCGCGUGAGUGAAGAAGGUUUUCGGAUCGUAAAACUCUGUUGUUAGAGAAGAACAGAGGAUGAGAGUAACUGUUCAUCCCUUGACGGUAUCUAACCAGAAAGCCACGGCUAACUACGUGCCAGCAGCCGCGGUAAUACGUAGAGUGGCAAGCGUUGUCCGGAUUUAUUGGGCGUAAAGCGAGCGCAGGCGGUUUCUUAAGUCUGAUGUGAAAGCCCCCGGCUCAACCGGGGAGGGUCAUUGGAAACUGGGAGACUUGAGUGCAGAAGAGGAGAGUGGAAUUCCAUGUGUAGCGGUGAAAUGCGUAGAUAUAUGGAGGAACACCAGUGGCGAAGGCGGCUCUCUGGUCUGUAACUGACGCUGAGGCUCGAAAGCGUGGGGAGCAAACAGGAUUAGAUACCCUGGUAGUCCACGCCGUAAACGAUGAGUGCUAAGUGUUGGAGGGUUUCCGCCCUUCAGUGCUGCAGCUAACGCAUNAAGCACUCCGCCUGGGGAGUACGACCGCAAGGUUGAAACUCAAAGGAAUNGACGGGGGCCCGCACAAGCGGUGGAGCAUGUGGU